RNAcentral lists this ribosomal RNA (427 nucleotides) under uncultured bacterium. RNAcentral describes it as "bacterial SSU rRNA". It matches the Rfam family "Bacterial small subunit ribosomal RNA", at positions 355 to 775 of the family's 1533-position model. The record is from RNAcentral.
UAGGGAAUCUUCCGCAAUGGACGCAAGUCUGACGGAGCAACGCCGCGUGAGUGAGGAAGGCCUUCGGGUCGUAAAGCUCUGUUGCCAGGGAAGAAUGCUUGGGGGAGUAACUGCCCUCAAGUUGACGGUACCUGAGAAGAAAGCCCCGGCUAACUACGUGCCAGCAGCCGCGGUAAUACGUAGGGGGCAAGCGUUGUCCGGAAUUAUUGGGCGUAAAGCGCGCGCAGGCGGUUUUGUAAGUCUGGUGUUUAAACUGGGGGCUCAACCUCCAGUCGCAUUGGAAACUGCAAGGCUUGAGUACAGAAGAGGAAAGUGGAAUUCCACGUGUAGCGGUGAAAUGCGUAGAGAUGUGGAGGAACACCAGUGGCGAAGGCGACUUUCUGGGCUGUAACUGACGCUGAGGCGCGAAAGCGUGGGGAGCAAACAG